ACAUCUCCCAUGGCACACAAUUGUAGACCUGAAACGCACGGUAUUCCAAAUCGACGAUCUCCGUUAAAUUCAUUUCCUCUAGUGGCAUGACGUAGGUGGGGGAGGAAGAUAGGGAUCGACUAUGGAACGAGCUGAAGAUGCAACCUUAUAACGGUACCGGCUGAUAGAUAGCUGAACUCUUUGUUCACAUCAAAAAAAGUGGAGGACCCGAUGAGACAGACAAAAACACAGACAUGCAGUUCAAAUACAGAAGGCACUGAUUUAUUUUUAUAGGAUAUUUUUCUGUGCUCCUUCAAGGGCUGGGUCCGUUAUCGCUGUUGUUGGCGGAACCGGCUGGCCAAGAUGUCUGUGGAAGAACAGGAAUAUCCCGAGGCGACUCUGGUGGCAGAGGCCGGGCCGCAGUGGUUUCGGGCGGAAUUAGAGCGCCUAUCCCGGGAGCUGAGCGAGACGACUCAUGAGAAGAUCCAGGCGGCGGAAUACGGGCUGGCGGUGCUCGAAGAGAAGCAACAGCUCAAACAGCGUUAUGACGAGUUGGAGACCGAGUUCGAGACUGUUCGGCAUGAACUCGACCAACUGAAGGAGGCAUUCGGCCAGGCCUACUCCACCCAUAGGAAGGUGGCUGCAGAUGGGGAGAGCAGGGAGGAGUCACUAAUGCUGGAGUCAGCCAGUAAGGAGGCCCAAUACCAGCAGAUGGUCCUGGAGCUGCAGAACGAGCUGCGGUUGGCCAGGACUGCCCUCACCAGCAACCAAUCAGAGAAUGAGCGCCUGGCCUCUGUUGCCCUGGAGAUGAGAGAGAGUUCUGAGCUGGUGGAGCUGCAGCGCAGCCAACUGCGUGAUGACAUCAGAGAGUAUAAGGUGCGAGAGGCACGCCUGCUGCAGGACUAUAGUGAGCUGGAGGACGAGAACAUCUCCCUACAGAAACAGGUGUCCCUGCUCCGACAGAGCCAGGUGGAGUUUGAGGGUCUGAAGCAUGAGAUCUGUCGUCUGGAAGAGGACUCCCAGUGCCUCCACAGCCAGUUGGAGGAGGCCAUGCGCCUGCGGGAGAUCGCCGAGCACCAGCUGACCGAGGCUCUGGAGACCAUUAAGACUGAGCGCGAGCAGAAGGCCGCCCUGCGUAAAGAACUGUCCCACUACAUGACCAUUGGGGACAACCUGUUACCGUACCACCACAGCCCCCUGAACAUCUCCCUGGACGGCUUCAAGUUCAGAGAGGAUCCCACUGCUGCCACGAACGAACCCAACAAUGAUGACUCGUUCCAUGGCUAUGAGAACGGCCUGGCUAAGAUGGCUGCAGACUGCAACGAGGAUAACAGAGCCAAGCUCCGGCCCGCCCCCAGCCUAGUGGAUGACCUGCUGAGUGAACUCAACAUCUCAGAGAUCCAGAAACUCAAGCAGCAGCUCAUGCAGGUUGAGCGGGAGAAGGUAGCACUACUUUCCUCCCUGCAGGAGGCCCAGAAGCAGCUAGAGGUGGCCCACGGGACUCUGUCUGAGCAGCAGGAGAUAGUAGGACGUCUCACCGAGAACCUCAGCGCCAUGAGGAAACUCCAGGCCAGCAAGGAGCGCCACUCGGCCAUGGACAGCGAGAAGGAGCGUGACAGCCGUGACGACGGUGACGGGGACUACUACGAGCUGGACAUCAACGGGCCUGAGAUCCUGCAGUGUAAGUACACAGUGGCUGUGUCCGAGGCCGGGGAACUCAGACAGGAGCUUAAGACUCUUAAAGCAGAGUACCAGUCAUGCCGGAGCCAGUACGAGGAGGAGCGAGCCCACCUGGAGAGCAACGUGGCAGGGCUGAGCGAGAAGCUAGCUUCCCUGGAGAAGAGCAGCCGGGUGGAGCAUGAGGAGAUGGAGCGCCUGGAGAAGGACCUGCGGCGGGUGAGCGAGUCGGCAGGGGAGUCGCAGGGAAGUCUGAAUGUGGCGCAGGACGAACUGGUGGUGUUCAGUGAGGAGCUGGCCAACCUCUACAACCACGUGUGCAUGUGCAACAACGAGACGCCCAACCGCGUCAUGCUUGACUACUACAAGGAGGGCAAGGCCAGCGUAGGUGGCGGGGGCGGCCGGGAGGGGAAAGGACGACGUCUGUCCCACGUUCUGCUCUCCAACGGGCUGGUCCCUGAUACUGACCCCAGUAAACCUGAAGCCAAUGACCCAGCCGCCCCAGCCCCAGAAUCCCGCCCAGAGCCUAUGAACAUCUAUAACCUGGUGGCCAUCAUCAGGGACCAGAUCCGUCACCUGCAGCAGGCGGUGGACCGCACCACAGAGCUGUCCCGCCAGAGGAUGGCCACCAUGGAGCUGAGCACCGUGGCUGAUAACGACAGCGAGGCCUGCAUGGGGGAGAUCCUCAAACUCAAGUCCCUCCUCAGCACCAAGAGGGAGCAGAUCGCCACCCUGAGGACCGUGCUCAAAGCCAACAAACAUACGGCUGAGGUGGCGCUGGCCAACCUGAAGAGUAAAUACGACAACGAGAAGACCAUGGUGAGGGAUACCAUGUUGAAGCUCCGCAACGAGCUGAAGGCUCUGAAAGAAGACGCUGCCACCUUCUCCUCACUACGGGCCAUGUUCGCAACAAGGUGUGAUGAGUACGUAACUCAGCUGGACGAGAUGCAGAGACAGCUGGUUGCAGCGGAGGACGAGAAGAAGACCCUGAACUCCCUGCUCCGCAUGGCCAUCCAGCAGAAGCUUGCCCUGACCCAGCGUCUGGAGGACCUGGAGUUUGAUCAUGAGCAGGCGCGCCGUGGUGGGGUUACAGGAACAACGACGAGCAGUCGGGGCAAGACCUCGUCGGCGCGGGGCAAAGGGGCCUCGGCCAAUCAUCACUAAUUUAAUCAAGCCGUGUCCUUCAAAGGUUGACAGUCAGCUUGCCGAUGAUUACUUCAGUGUCCCCUCCUGGCCUGAGACAAAUGUCAGAGACACGUACUGCUGUAGUGUGAGGACUUUGUUUCUGCGCGCACACACACACACACACACUCUCUUGACCUUUACAGACGUGUAAAAUCCCCAGUGGUUUGGUGUCUUGGUGUGGCUGCAGGAAACAACAAAGACUCAUGGGUAUGAUGACCAUAGAGAUAUCUAGGUCUAUUUCUGUGGGAAUGACCAUAGAGAUAUCUAGGUCUAUUUCUGUGGGCAUGACCAUAGAGAUAUCUAGGUCUAUUUCUGUGGGCAUGACCAUAGAGAUAUCUAGGUUUAUUUCUGUGGGAAUGACCAUAGAGAUAUCUAGGUUUAUUUCUGUGGGAAUGACCAUAGAGAUAUCUAGGUUUAUUUCUGUGGGAAUGACCAUAGAGAUAUCUAGGUUUAUGUCUAUGGGAAUGACCAUAGAGAUAUCUAGGUCUAUUUCUGUGGGAAUGGCCAUAGAGAUAUCUAGGUUUAUUUCUAUGGGAAUGACCAUAGAGAUAUCUAGGUUUAUUUUUGUGGGAAUGACCAUAGAGAUAUCUAGGUCUAUUUCUGUGGGUAUGACCAACAGUUUGACCCCCCAUUGUGAUCCAGUCACUCAUCCCACAUUGUCCACCACUAUACUGGUAUUACUCUGUCUGUGUUUCCCCUGAUGACUGCACACUUUUCAUGUCUUUUUAUUUAUCUUUUUUUGCUUGUAAUUCACACCUCAGUGAAUUUGUGUGGUGUUCAUACGCUUUUAAGAAUUGUUACAUGUUUGGUCAUUGGAGCAUUAAUUAGUCAUUUAAAUAUUUGAGCUUUUGUCAUUAUAUAACUGUCAGAUUGAUAACAACAUUUCCAUGGAGAGCAAACCAGCAAAGUCAUAGGAACUAACUUGCUCCAGUUUUCUCUGGGGUCAAUAUUCAAUAGGACUCACAAGCUAACAGACAUUCUCUACAAGCACAUAGAUGAACAUCUUAAAUUGGAAUUUGUUUUUUCUCUCUUUUUAAAAAAUCUUGUCACAUAUUGAUAAUGUGCUUAAAAAAAGUUAACCAGUGAGAGCAGGAUGUUCCAGCAGGACAUUCAGCCAGUGUGUGCCCAGUGGGUACUUUCUGGCCUUAGUUUAGACCAGUAGUUUGUUCUGUCCACAAAAGAGAAGCUACAUUUAGAUUUGAAUGUUUUCUAUGUCUUUGAGAAUUGUGGUGAGAGGUUAUGACCCCAGUCAAUAACAGAUUGAGGAAAAUAAUAGGAACUGUGGUGAAUUGUGUGAAGUGAUUCUGCCAUCCUGCAAGCAUGCAGAGUUGCAAAUUUAGGGGCUAUUAUUAUGAUUAUUAUUAAUCGAUAAACCUUAUUUUAAGAGUAAUGAUACCACAGCUGUUAACUUUGGCUGCCUAGUUAAUAGUGGUUCAGAGCAUUUUCGGUGAUGGCUGAGGGAGAGAUUACUAAUGCAAAUACUUAUUUAUACUCUACCUUUGUAUGGCAAAGUUCAGGCGACUAUGGUGGAGACUUUUUGUAUCGUCUGUUUUAAUGCAAUUUUAUGAGCCCUUUUUACAUCCUCUAAAAGUGUUGUUGUGAUUUCAACAAACAGACUAAGUUAAGUCAUGAACACAUCUGCAGUGCCAUUUAAUUUAUUGUUGAUGCAAUAAAAGUUACAUUUGGGAUUCUCUUUUUUUACAAGUGCAAUUUGAACGCAAUCGAUAUAGAAACACAGUAUAAACAUUCUCUGUCUGUUUGUCUGCUGAUGCUAUUGUUACAUUUUACUACUACUUCUUACUCACAAUCUUGAUCCUAAUUGAGUUGUAUAUCUUUGUACUAAAUAACUUCACUUGUUUGUAUUUAUUUUUUAACAAUGUCAUGUAUGUUGGCAUUGUCGAUAAUGUGGAUUAUGAUUAUUGCCAUAUUGAUACCAUAUCGAUGCCUUUUUUCAUGUCGUCUUCAAGAGACUCUGGAUGGAGAUGGUAGGUGAGAUGUGUGCUCAAUAGAAGUCAACAGCCUACCUGUAUGAUGAUGAUGUUGCACUGGCAAGGUGCAUGUUUCAUAGUUACCUUUAUUCUGCCUAAAGGUAUGCCAAAUAAACCUCACUUUAGUCUUUAUUCUGCCUAAAGGUAUGCCAAAUAAACUUCACUUUAGACUUAA
Molecule: RNA transcript, 5004 nt
Organism: Oncorhynchus keta (chum salmon)
Lineage: Eukaryota; Metazoa; Chordata; Actinopteri; Salmoniformes; Salmonidae
Gene name: protein bicaudal D homolog 2-like
Exons: 9
Source: RefSeq, a predicted model, not a curated record